This is a non-coding RNA of Arachis ipaensis, 282 nucleotides long. NCBI's taxonomy places the organism in Eukaryota, Viridiplantae, Streptophyta, Magnoliopsida, Fabales, Fabaceae. The record is from RefSeq and is a predicted model, not a curated record.
AUCCCUCGAGUCUCCUUCGUCCCUUCCUUUGAAACCUGCCCAGCGGCGUUGGCUCGGCCUUCCCGUAUGCUUCCGCUUGCCUGCAUGCGCCUAGGCGUGCGGGGCACGGUUCGUCUGGGCGUGCUGUGUUUGCGGACCGUGGUGGCGGAUGAGCGGUGUGUGGGUUGUGCUUCUGUCUGGCUCCUUGCCUCGCGCAACGAACGGGCGCACCGGAUCCUCUCCAUGUGUGGGCUCGAGCUACCGUGCUCGUUCCACUGUUGUGCGGCUCCUGUGUUUCCUACC